RNAcentral lists this ribosomal RNA (1480 nucleotides) under metagenome. Its description in RNAcentral is "bacterial SSU rRNA". It matches the Rfam family "Bacterial small subunit ribosomal RNA". The record is from RNAcentral.
AGAGUUUGAUCCUGGCUCAGGACGAACGCUGGCGGCGUGCUUAACACAUGCAAGUCGAGCGAAAAGGCCCUUCGGGGUACUCGAGCGGCGAACGGGUGAGUAACACGUGAGUAACCUGCCCCUGACUCUGGGAUAAGCCCGGGAAACUGGGUCUAAUACCGGAUAUGACACCUCCUCGCAUUGGGUGGGUGUGGAAAGUUUUUCGGUUGGGGAUGGACUCGCGGCCUAUCAGCUUGUUGGUGGGGUAAUGGCCUACCAAGGCGACGACGGGUAGCCGGCCUAGAGGGCGACCGGCCACACUGGGACUGAGACACGGCCCAGACUCCUACGGGAGGCAGCAGUGGGGAAUAUUGCGCAAUGGGCGAAAGCCUGACGCAGCGACGCCGCGUGGGGGAUGACGGCCUUCGGGUUGUAAACCUCUUUCAGCAGGGACGAAGUUGACGUGUACCUGCAGAAGAAGCGCCGGCUAACUACGUGCCAGCAGCCGCGGUAAUACGUAGGGCGCAAGCGUUGUCCGGAAUUAUUGGGCGUAAAGAGCUCGUAGGUUGCUUGUCACGUCGGGUGUGAAAGCUUGGGGCUUAACUCCAGGUCUGCAUUCGAUACGGGCUGGCUAGAGGUAGGUAGGGGAGAACGGAAUUCCUGGUGUAGCGGUGAAAUGCGCAGAUAUCAGGAGGAACACCGGUGGCGAAGGCGGUUCUCUGGGCCUUACCUGACGCUGAGGAGCGAAAGCGUGGGGAGCGAACAGGAUUAGAUACCCUGGUAGUCCACUCCGUAAACGUUGGGCGCUAGGUGUGGGGACCUUCCACGGUUUCCGCGCCGUAGCUAACGCAUUAAGCGCCCCGCCUGGGGAGUACGGCUGCAAGGCUAAAACUCAAAGGAAUUGACGGGGGCCCGCACAAGCGGCGGAGCAUGUUGCUUAAUUCGACGCAACGCGAAGAACCUUACCAAGGCUUGACAUUGCCCGGAAACACUCAGAGAUGGGUGCCUCUUCGGAUCGGGUGACAGGUGGUGCAUGGCUGUCGUCAGCUCGUGUCGUGAGAUGUUGGGUUAAGUCCCGCAACGAGCGCAACCCUUGUUCAAUGUUGCCAGCACGCUCCUUCGGGGGUGGUAGGGACUCAUUGGAGACUGCCGGGGUCAACUCGGAGGAAGGUGGGGAUGACGUCAAGUCAUCAUGCCCCUUAUGUCUUGGGCUGCAAACAUGCUACAAUGGCCGGUACAGAGGGCUGCGAUACCGCAAGGUGGAGCGAAUCCCUAAAAGCCGGUCUCAGUUCGGAUUGGGGUCUGCAACUCGACCCCAUGAAGUCGGAGUCGCUAGUAAUCGCAGAUCAGCAACGCUGCGGUGAAUACGUUCCCGGGCCUUGUACACACCGCCCGUCACGUCACGAAAGUCGGCAACACCCGAAGCCCGUGGCCCAACCAGCUUGCUGGGGGGAGCGGUCGAAGGUGGGGCUGGCGAUUGGGACGAAGUCGUAACAAGGUA